This is a long non-coding RNA of Ixodes scapularis (black-legged tick), 821 nucleotides long. RefSeq lists it as uncharacterized. The record is from RefSeq and is a predicted model, not a curated record. NCBI's taxonomy places the organism in Eukaryota, Metazoa, Arthropoda, Arachnida, Ixodida, Ixodidae. The transcript is spliced from 6 exons.
AGAUGCAAGUGCCGGAGCGGACGUCUCUCCUUGCCGGUCAAGUGUGUGCGCGGAUGUCGACUGCCAGAAGGAAGUUGUCUGCUCACCCAAAGGCGCCAAAUGGUUUUGCCGCUGCGCAGGACUGGCGGGUUCUCCGUGUCACGCAAAGACCUGCGACCUCAAUCCUUGCCUGGGUGACGCGAUUUGUUUGACGGGCCUCAAGGGCACUGUGGAGCAAUUUGUAUGCCUCUGCCCCUAUGGAAGAAUCGGCACACGCUGCGAGAUGAAUGUGUCCAUUUCGGAGAUGUACUUCAAGGGCGACAUCCGAUCGCAUUCUUCGUACGUCGAACUGUCGGUUCCCAUUGACACCUCGGAUAGCAUCGAGUUUCGGUUAAAGUUCAACACGCACUAUCCGCUGCAGACUGCUCUUCUGGCUUUCAUGGGACAAGAAGAUGGGCAAGACCCAAUGUCGGAUUUUAUGGCUGUUCUCUUGUUCGGCGGACGAAUUUGGCUCUACUUCGAUCUUGGUUCGGACGCUACGGCUGGCUGGAGACGGACGGCCAGGUCAAGGCGGUGGGCCUCUCCAAGGGACCCCUCAACUCCCUGAACGUGGCACCGUCCCUCUUCGUGGGCGGACACCCCAGCGUCCGGUUCGAGGGGCUCCCAAAGCUCGACGUCGACCUACGAUCAGGGUUCGUAGGUUGGGUGCGUGAAGAGCGUUGAAGUUCGAGGCUGUUCACCGGAAACGUUUCGGCCACUGGAAGGAGUCAUGAGGGGUCGGAACGUGGACCAGUGCAAGACGGCCGGCUGUGGAACCGUCCCGUGCAAAAAUGCUGGCAGCU